Molecule: ribosomal RNA, 467 nt
Filed under: uncultured bacterium
Lineage: Bacteria
Description: partial 16S ribosomal RNA
Rfam family: Bacterial small subunit ribosomal RNA
Source: RNAcentral
GACGAACGCUGGCGGCGUGCUUAACACAUGCAAGUCGAACGGAAAGGCCCUGCUUUGUGGGGUGCUCGAGUGGCGAACGGGUGAGUAACACGUGAGUAACCUGCCCUUGACUUUGGGAUAACUUCAGGAAACUGGGGCUAAUACCGGAUAGGAGCUCCUGCUGCAUGGUGGGGGUUGGAAAGUUUCGGCGGUUGGGGAUGGACUCGCGGCUUAUCCGCUUGUUGGUGGGGUAGUGGCUUACCAAGGCUUUGACGGGUAGCCGGCCUGAGAGGGUGACCGGCCACAUUGGGACUGAGAUACGGCCCAGACUCCUACGGGAGGCAGCAGUGGGGAAUAUUGCACAAUGGGCGGAAGCCUGAUGCAGCAACGCCGCGUGCGGGAUGACGGCCUUCGGGUUGUAAACCGCUUUCGCCUGUGACGAAGCGUGAGUGACGGUAAUGGGUAAAGAAGCACCGGCUAACUACGUG